Molecule: long non-coding RNA, 500 nt
Organism: Octopus sinensis (East Asian common octopus)
Lineage: Eukaryota; Metazoa; Mollusca; Cephalopoda; Octopoda; Octopodidae
Exons: 2
Source: RefSeq, a predicted model, not a curated record
CCGGUCUGGGAAUCGAAACCGCGAGUCCGCUGCCCUAACCACUGGGCCAUUGCGCCUCCACAUACAUGCAUGCAUGCAUGCAUACAUACAUACAUACAUACAUACAUACAUACAUACAUAAUUUGCCCUCAACUAUCUACUUUGGAUUCAGAACCUUAUUCUACCAUUUGACGAAUAUAUCUGGUACAGCCUUGAUGUUCUGCUGAGUCGAGAGUGGGAAAGAAGAGAGGGUGUUUGUAUCUGAUUGCAACUAUAUAGGCACUUAUAACAAUUUGCACAAGUGUGAUACAAGCUACAAGGCCAUAUUAAUUUGCUAGUAUCUGCUAAACAUUUACACACACACACACACACACAUACACACACACAUUAAGCAAUAUACUCGUCCACUUCUGAUCCAAAGUAUCAACAAAUACCCAAAUAUACAUAAUAUUUUUUAAUGUUAUAACUUUAACAAUUAUAAUACAUAUGAAAUAAAAUGCUCCAAAAAAAUCCAAAUUCUA